This 74-nucleotide transfer RNA is filed under the name Candidatus Colimorpha pelethequi. RNAcentral describes it as "tRNA-Trp". It matches the Rfam family "tRNA". From Rfam's summary of the family: Transfer RNA (tRNA) molecules are approximately 80 nucleotides in length. Their secondary structure includes four short double-helical elements and three loops (D, anti-codon, and T loops). RNAcentral also lists the same sequence under 1 other name. The record is from RNAcentral. Lineage: Bacteria; Pseudomonadati; Bacteroidota; Bacteroidia; Bacteroidales.
AGGGGCAUAGUUAAAUGGCAUAAUGACGGUCUCCAAAACCGUAGUUGGGAGUUCGAUUCUCUCUGCCCCUGCCA